Molecule: ribosomal RNA, 726 nt
Filed under: Citricoccus sp. N05IV
Lineage: Bacteria; Bacillati; Actinomycetota; Actinomycetes; Micrococcales; Micrococcaceae
Description: partial 16S ribosomal RNA
Source: RNAcentral
CACUUAAUGCGUUACUGCGGCGCGGAAAACGUGGAAUGUCCCCCACACCUAGUGCCCAACGUUUACGGCAUGGACUACCAGGGUAUCUAAUCCUGUUCGCUCCCCAUGCUUUCGCUCCUCAGCGUCAGUAACAGCCCAGAGACCUGCCUUCGCCAUCGGUGUUCCUCCUGAUAUCUGCGCAUUUCACCGCUACACCAGGAAUUCCGGUCUCCCCUACUGCACUCUAGUCUGCCCGUACCCACCGCAGAUCCGGGGUUAAGCCCCGGACUUUCACGGCAGACGCGACAAACCGCCUACGAGCUCUUUACGCCCAAUAAUUCCGGAUAACGCUCGCGCCCUACGUAUUACCGCGGCUGCUGGCACGUAGUUAGCCGGCGCUUCUUCUGCAGGUACCGUCACCCGAAGCUUCUUCCCUACUGAAAGAGGUUUACAACCCGAAGCCGUCAUCCCUCACGCGGCGUCGCUGCAUCAGGCUUGCGCCCAUUGUGCAAUAUUCCCCACUGCUGCCUCCCGUAGAGUCUGGGCCGUGUCUCAGUCCCAGUGUGGCCGGUCACCCUCUCAGGCCGGCUACCCGUCGUCGCCUUGGUGAGCCAUUACCUCACCAACAAGCUGAUAGGCCGCGAGUCCAUCCAAGACCGAUAAAUCUUUCCACCCCCCACCAUGCGAUAGGAGGUCAUAUCCGGUAUUAGACCCAGUUUCCGGGCUAUCCAGAGUCAAGGAGGUACU